RNAcentral lists this ribosomal RNA (250 nucleotides) under uncultured bacterium. Its description in RNAcentral is "partial 16S ribosomal RNA". It matches the Rfam family "Bacterial small subunit ribosomal RNA", at positions 524 to 773 of the family's 1533-position model. The record is from RNAcentral.
UACGUAGGGGGCAAGCGUUGUCCGGAGUUAUUGGGCGUAAAGAGCGCGUAGGCGGUUCAGGAAGUCUUCGGUGAAAUCUCCCGGCUUAACCGGGAGCGGUCCGAGGAAACUCUUGGGCUUGAGGAUAGCAGAGGAGGGUGGAAUUCCCGGUGUAGUGGUGAAAUGCGUAGAUAUCGGGAGGAACACCAGUGGCGAAGGCGGCCCUCUGGGCUAUACCUGACGCUGAGGCGCGAAAGCGUGGGGAGCGAAC